AUUAAUUAUUUAAAUUUAAUUUUGAUUUAGGACAGGAUACUAUGGCCUUGUUUUGUUUGGUUCAUGUAGCCAUGCAAUGUUUAGUAGUUGUUGUUCAAUUUCCUCAAUGGAUUUAGAUUCAGCCAAGUUCCCACUAUCCCCAAUGUAGAGGAACAGUGCCCUAAUCCUGUAAAUGGGUUGGAAACCAUGAACUUUGGAUUCAUGAAUGACCCUUUUCUUUUUCCACCUGAUCAAAACAAUGCUCAAAAUCCUACUUCUUCUAUUUUUAAUAAAUUAAGAGUCAGAUUUCCUAUAAAAUAUAAAAUUAAAAUUGAAAUAAAUUUCUCAAUUCUGGUGGCAAUACUUCAAGCUUUGUGCACCCAUCAUGAUUAAGUAUGCUUCAGCCUUCAGAAGACUAUAAUAAUUUUGAUUAAAUUCAAAAUUAAAUGCAGAAAUAAUUCCAAGAUUUUAAUCAAAGUUCUGCAUCAGAGUCUUUUUCUUCAGUGUUGUGAACAGCUUCUUUGGCAACAUUUGCAGUAGAUUUAGCAGAUUUAACAACUGUCUCUUUGCUCUUCUCCAAGUUAGGAACAAGUACAAAAGGUGCUGAAUUAAGGAGAGUAGAGAGAGAAUUUUUGAGAAGGUUUGAAGUGAUUGGAUUUCACAGUUAUAUGCAUUAAAAGCUAUCUAAGGCCAUAGAGCAGUUACAAUGAAAUAUAUGCACGCCUUCAAUAAUAAUAAUAAUAUCAAAUACAUGUCGUAAACUACAAGGUUUGCACUUUCCAUCUACUUCUAACUGCUUUCACUAUUUACCUUAUUAUUUUUCAGAUCACUUCACUACACUACU
Arachis ipaensis is the source of this 823-nucleotide non-coding RNA. NCBI's taxonomy places the organism in Eukaryota, Viridiplantae, Streptophyta, Magnoliopsida, Fabales, Fabaceae. The record is from RefSeq and is a predicted model, not a curated record.